RNAcentral lists this ribosomal RNA (497 nucleotides) under uncultured bacterium. Its description in RNAcentral is "partial 16S ribosomal RNA". It matches the Rfam family "Bacterial small subunit ribosomal RNA", at positions 28 to 507 of the family's 1533-position model. The record is from RNAcentral.
GAUGAACGCUGGCGGCGUGCCUAAUACAUGCAAGUCGAGCGAACAGACGAGGAGCUUGCUCCUCUGACGUUAGCGGCGGACGGGUGAGUAACACGUGGAUAACCUACCUAUAAGACUGGGAUAACUUCGGGAAACCGGAGCUAAUACCGGAUAAUAUAUUGAACCGCAUGGUUCAAUAGUGAAAGACGGUUUUGCUGUCACUUAUAGAUGGAUCCGCGCCGCAUUAGCUAGUUGGUAAGGUAACGGCUUACCAAGGCAACGAUGCGUAGCCGACCUGAGAGGGUGAUCGGCCACACUGGAACUGAGACACGGUCCAGACUCCUACGGGAAGCAGCAGUAGGGAAUCUUCCGCAAUGGGCGAAAGCCUGACGGAGCAACGCCGCGUGAGUGAUGAAGGUCUUCGGAUCGUAAAACUCUGUUAGUAGGGAAGAACAAAUGUGUAAGUAACUAUGCACGUCUUGACGGUACCUAAUCAGAAAGCCACGGCUAACUACGUG